CCAUCACGACAGGGGAGCGCGAGACGCGCUGAGAGUGCGGCAGCCCAGACGGCCGAGCCGCAGACCCUCGAACCUGCUCCGGUUAGCACCGGCGAAGGAAGUCGGUAUUUCUCAGGU
Molecule: non-coding RNA, 117 nt
Filed under: Terrabacter sp.
Lineage: Bacteria; Bacillati; Actinomycetota; Actinomycetes; Micrococcales; Intrasporangiaceae
Description: TPP sequence
Rfam family: TPP riboswitch aptamer (THI element)
About the family: Vitamin B(1) in its active form thiamin pyrophosphate (TPP) is an essential coenzyme that is synthesised by coupling of pyrimidine and thiazole moieties in bacteria. The previously detected thiamin-regulatory element, thi box was extended, resulting in a new, highly conserved RNA secondary structure, the THI element, which is widely distributed in eubacteria and also occurs in some archaea.
Source: RNAcentral